UCGCCAGAGUACUACUAGCAACAGCUUAAAACUCAAAGGAUUUGGCGGUGCUUUAAACCCACCUAGAGGAGCCUGUUCUAUAAUCGAUGAACCCCGCUAAACCUCACCACUUCUCGCUAAACCAGUCUAUAUACCGCCAUCUUCAGCAAACA
RNAcentral lists this ribosomal RNA (152 nucleotides) under Thrichomys apereoides (common punare). RNAcentral describes it as "partial small subunit ribosomal RNA". Lineage: Eukaryota; Metazoa; Chordata; Mammalia; Rodentia; Echimyidae. The record is from RNAcentral.